UGGGGAAUAUUGCACAAUGGGCGAAAGCCUGAUGCAGCAACGCCGCGUGAGCGAUGAAGGCCUUCGGGUCAUAAAGCUCUGUCCUCAAGGAAGAUGAUGACGGUACCCACAGAAGAAGCCCCGGCUAACUUCGUGCCAGCAGCCGCGGUAAUACGAAGGGGGCUAGCGUUGUUCGGAAUUACUGGGCGUAAAGCGCACGUAGGCGGAUCGUUAAGUCGGGGGUGAAAUCCUGGGGCUCAACCUCAGAACUGCCUUCGAUACUGGCGAUCUCGAGUCCGGGAGAGGUGAGUGGAAUUCCGAGUGUAGAGGUGAAAUUCGUAGAUAUUCGGAGGAACACCAGUGGCGAAGGCGGCUCACUGGCCCGGUACUGACGCUGAGGUGCGAAAGCGUGGGGAGCAAACG
RNAcentral lists this ribosomal RNA (402 nucleotides) under uncultured prokaryote. Its description in RNAcentral is "bacterial SSU rRNA". It matches the Rfam family "Bacterial small subunit ribosomal RNA", at positions 355 to 774 of the family's 1533-position model. The record is from RNAcentral.